GACGAACGCUGGCGGCGUGCUUAACACAUGCAAGUCGAACGGAAAGGCCCUGCUUUUGUGGGGUGCUCGAGUGGCGAACGGGUGAGUAACACGUGAGUAACCUGCCCUUGACUUUGGGAUAACUUCAGGAAACUGGGGCUAAUACCGGAUAGGAGCUCCUGCUGCAUGGUGGGGGUUGGAAAGUUUCGGCGGUUGGGGAUGGACUCGCGGCUUAUCAGCUUGUUGGUGGGGUAGUGGCUUACCAAGGCUUUGACGGGUAGCCGGCCUGAGAGGGUGACAGGCCACACUGGGACUGAGAUACGGCCCAGACUCCUACGGGAGGCAGCAGUGGGGAAUAUUGCACAAUGGGCGGAAGCCUGAUGCAGCAACGCCGCGUGCGGGAAGACGGCCUUCGGGUUGUAAACCGCUUUCGCCUGUGACGAAGCGUGAGUGACGGUAAUGGGUAAAGAAGCACCGGCUAACUACGUG
This 468-nucleotide ribosomal RNA is filed under the name uncultured bacterium. Its description in RNAcentral is "partial 16S ribosomal RNA". It matches the Rfam family "Bacterial small subunit ribosomal RNA", at positions 28 to 507 of the family's 1533-position model. The record is from RNAcentral.